Molecule: ribosomal RNA, 630 nt
Filed under: Clostridium botulinum
Lineage: Bacteria; Bacillati; Bacillota; Clostridia; Eubacteriales; Clostridiaceae
Description: bacterial SSU rRNA
Rfam family: Bacterial small subunit ribosomal RNA
Source: RNAcentral
GGGGGCUGCAUUCCAAACUGGAUAUCUAGAGUGCAGGAGAGGAAAGCGGAAUUCCUAGUGUAGCGGUGAAAUGCGUAGAGAUUAGGAAGAACACCAGUGGCGAAGGCGGCUUUCUGGACUGUAACUGACGCUGAGGCACGAAAGCGUGGGUAGCAAACAGGAUUAGAUACCCUGGUAGUCCACGCCGUAAACGAUGGAUACUAGGUGUAGGGGGUAUCAACUCCCCCUGUGCCGCAGUUAACACAAGUAAGUAUCCCGCCUGGGGAGUACGGUCGCAAGAUUAAAACUCAAAGGAAUUGACGGGGGCCCGCACAAGCAGCGGAGCAUGUGGUUUAAUUCGAAGCAACGCGAAGAACCUUACCUGGACUUGACAUCCCUUGCAUAGCCUAGAGAUAGGUGAAGCCCUUCGGGGCAAGGAGACAGGUGGUGCAUGGUUGUCGUCAGCUCGUGUCGUGAGAUGUUAGGUUAAGUCCUGCAACGAGCGCAACCCUUGUUAUUAGUUGCUACCAUUAAGUUGAGCACUCUAAUGAGACUGCCUGGGUAACCAGGAGGAAGGUGGGGAUGACGUCAAAUCAUCAUGCCCCUUAUGUCCAGGGCUACACACGUGCUACAAUGGUAGGUACAAUAAGA